Molecule: unclassified non-coding RNA, 377 nt
Filed under: uncultured Alteromonadaceae bacterium
Lineage: Bacteria; Pseudomonadati; Pseudomonadota; Gammaproteobacteria; Alteromonadales; Alteromonadaceae
Description: partial 16S-23S ribosomal RNA intergenic spacer
Source: RNAcentral
CCUCCUUACCAUUACGUCGAAAGACGCACUUGAUGCAGUGCCUACACAGAUAGUCUUGUUUAUAUUUAAAGAUGACUUAAAUAAAAGCCCUUAGCUUUGAUUUAAGAUCAAACCUAAGUGUUUUGAAUUAAGCACUAUGCUCUUUAACAAUUUGGGAAAGCUGAUAUUAAUAGUAAUCAAUCAAAAUUGAGUAACUGAUAAGUCUAAAGACGUACUUUUUACUCUACUUGACUUUGAAUUGCCUUGUUAUCAACAUUGAUUGAUAUCCAAGGGCCAAUUCUUCCCGAUUUAGCUUUGUUCUUGCAUUACGAACAUUUAAACCCUUUGUUCCAUUUUCUAAAAAAGGUUGGAUCAUUGAUGGCCGUAUCCCUCAAGGC